Molecule: non-coding RNA, 2220 nt
Organism: Lactuca sativa (garden lettuce)
Lineage: Eukaryota; Viridiplantae; Streptophyta; Magnoliopsida; Asterales; Asteraceae
Source: RefSeq, a predicted model, not a curated record
AGAUUAAGGCACUGAAAAAGGAUGUUGUGAAGCUAUUUAAAAAUUUAGAUAAAUAUGAUGAUGGGGCCAAUUUCUUUGAUGAUCAACAUCAAGGUCCUGUUUCAGCCACCUCAUCAGUUGUUCGUGGGCUGACAACUUUCGCUUCCGCUUCCGGAAGUUUUAAUAUAUGACACAAUCUUAUUAGAUACUAAGGGACAAGAUAUUGGGUUUGGCAAGAUUUUUUCUUGGGAUUGGAAUCCCUGGCAAUAGCAAGCAUUUAUAUCACCAAAUUGAUGCUUUAGAUUGCUUAGAUCAAAACAGGAAAGUGAAUAACAUUCUCUCUUAAGUCUUAACACAUUUAUUUUUGAAUCUAUUGACAUUUUUGUUUUUUAUUUUUCGUUUAGGGAAUUAGUUCCUCUCAUUUUAUCACUUCCAGCUAGUGUCCUUUCAUUUACCAGCCAAGACAAACUUAAGACUUGUGCAGGUGUUUUUGUGCUUACUGACCUUGUAUUUUGGUGCCUAUUACUCCCGUUUCAGUCUGGCGAUGGCUUCAAGCUUACCCUGUUGAUUGGUUGCAUGCACUCCCUGAAUGUUGUUUUUCUCCUCUUGGAUUCUGCUCUCAACAGCCUACAAUUUACUUGGCACGGGUUAACAUACUUUGUCUUGUGGAGCUCAUCUUAUACAAUUUUCCAGUGUGUUAUGCAUGCCUGCUGCUUUACAUGGUGGCCUUAUCCCUUCCUGGAAAUUGCUACUCCAUGGGCUCCCAUGUGGUACUUUGGCAUCGCUUUAGUUCACCUUCCAUGUUACGGACUAUAUGUUUGGCUUAUGAAAGUGAAAGCAUCGAUGCUGUCAAAUGUGUUUCCGCAAGCAUUUAUAGUCCAACGUGUGGUUUUCGUUUACAAUCUACUAAGGAGAAAGAUCACACAACUCGAUGAUGCAAAAGGGGUAAUCCCGGGAAUCUCAAGACGGGCAGAUUUAUGGUUAGGUACAAUCUUGAUGAAUAAAGGUGCCCGAGUGAAUACAAAAAGACGGGUCGGACCCGUACCCGAUGUCGAUAUUGGUAAUGUUUUUUUCUGAACGGAGCUCUGUUUAGUGGGAUUACAUUCUCCAAGCAUGGCAGGGGUGGUACCAAUAAAGAGAUCAUUGAGUGAGGGAUCAAUAGAAAUGGUCUGGACAGAAUGACUUAAUAGCGGUAAGCCUGGUGGGCAAAAAAACUUGCUUCUUUUACUAGGGUGUCAUCAACAGUUUAGGCAAGUCAACUUUGUCCUUUUUUGUAAAAUUUAAUAUGAUUAUAUCAAUUAUUUACGAAAUUCAAAAAGAAAAAAGACAAAAAAAAGUAUCCAAGUUGUUGACUUUUUUGUUUUAUGUAGGCUUAAUUUGGUGCUAAUGCUAUGAUUGAUGAUUGGGAAGAGAAUUUGGAUAUGAUUACUACUAAGAAGACCAAAGAUGUUGAAUUGGUGCUUAUUCAUCUCGGAGAUUGUUUAUGGAAAGAAACAAGUAAUGUGUUUUUCUCCUAAAGAGUACAAAUGCAGAUUUGGAACGCAUGACCCUUUAUAUCAUAUCAGAUUUGGAACGCAUGACCCUUUAUGCACUUGUCUUCCACUUGCUUAUAGCCUUACACCAUAAGACAAAGUGUUGGAGUUUAAGUAAGUGCAAACUUGUUCUGGAGUGAUUUUAGGAGACAUUUCUGGAGAUUUUGUUGUCACACAUACUGAAGAUGAGAUCCUUCAAGCUUCCAUUGUUGCUUUAACUGCAUUUUUCAGGUAUAUCUUUUUACGAAUCCUAUAUGGCUCGUGAAAACACAAUUACAACUUCAAACUCCUCAAAACACUCGCGCAUAUAGUGGCUUAGCUGGCAAGGAACAUAUACCAGUGUCCAUAGGGCUCUGUGAUUAGAAGCCAAGCCAAGUGUGGGAAAAUACUUAAUGAGCAGAAUAACCUCUUUGAAAGUUUGCUUCUUUGAAUUAUAAGAUGCACACCUGCUACUUGUUGACUUGCCAGAGCUAAAAUCUUUGACCAACAGGUUCUGACAGCUCUAGCAACCUCCUUCCAUGCCGUACAGCCUCUCAAAGUUCCUACAUUCAGGUUAUUCUUUUAGAAAGGAAAUUGUCAAAGGAGAUUGUCAAAGGAGAAUUUAUUCAUGGGUUUCUUUUAAUGUUGUACAUGUUUUGUUUUCUAUAAUAAAUAUUAUGCAAUAUUAGCAAUGUGUUACAUUUACUUACUAUUGGAAUGAUUAUUUGUA